AGAGUUUGAUCAUGGCUCAGAUUGAACGCUGGCGGCAGGCCUAACACAUGCAAGUCGAGCGGUAGAGAGAAGCUUGCUUCUCUUGAGAGCGGCGGACGGGUGAGUAAUGCCUAGGAAUCUGCCUGGUAGUGGGGGAUAACGUUCGGAAACGGACGCUAAUACCGCAUACGUCCUACGGGAGAAAGCAGGGGACCUUCGGGCCUUGCGCUAUCAGAUGAGCCUAGGUCGGAUUAGCUAGUUGGUGAGGUAAUGGCUCACCAAGGCGACGAUCCGUAACUGGUCUGAGAGGAUGAUCAGUCACACUGGAACUGAGACACGGUCCAGACUCCUACGGGAGGCAGCAGUGGGGAAUAUUGGACAAUGGGCGAAAGCCUGAUCCAGCCAUGCCGCGUGUGUGAAGAAGGUCUUCGGAUUGUAAAGCACUUUAAGUUGGGAGGAAGGGUUGUAGAUUAAUACUCUGCAAUUUUGACGUUACCGACAGAAUAAGCACCGGCUAACUCUGUGCCAGCAGCCGCGGUAAUACAGAGGGUGCAAGCGUUAAUCGGAAUUACUGGGCGUAAAGCGCGCGUAGGUGGUUUGUUAAGUUGGAUGUGAAAUCCCCGGGCUCAACCUGGGAACUGCAUUCAAAACUGACUGACUAGAGUAUGGUAGAGGGUGGUGGAAUUUCCUGUGUAGCGGUGAAAUGCGUAGAUAUAGGAAGGAACACCAGUGGCGAAGGCGACCACCUGGACUAAUAC
This 737-nucleotide ribosomal RNA is filed under the name uncultured Pseudomonas sp. RNAcentral's name for it is "bacterial SSU rRNA". It matches the Rfam family "Bacterial small subunit ribosomal RNA", at positions 8 to 740 of the family's 1533-position model. The record is from RNAcentral. Lineage: Bacteria; Pseudomonadati; Pseudomonadota; Gammaproteobacteria; Pseudomonadales; Pseudomonadaceae.